RNAcentral lists this ribosomal RNA (205 nucleotides) under uncultured bacterium. RNAcentral describes it as "partial 16S ribosomal RNA". It matches the Rfam family "Bacterial small subunit ribosomal RNA", at positions 568 to 772 of the family's 1533-position model. The record is from RNAcentral.
CGUGUAGGCGGCUUUGCAAGUCGGGUGUGAAAUCCCUCAGCUUAACUGAGGAAGUGCGCCCGAAACUGCCGAGCUUGAGUACCGGAGAGGGUGGCGGAAUUCCCCAAGUAGAGGUGAAAUUCGUAGAUAUGGGGAGGAACACCGGUGGCGAAGGCGGCCACCUGGACGGAUACUGACGCUGAGACGCGAAAGCGUGGGGGAGAAC